Molecule: ribosomal RNA, 545 nt
Filed under: uncultured bacterium
Lineage: Bacteria
Description: bacterial SSU rRNA
Rfam family: Bacterial small subunit ribosomal RNA
Source: RNAcentral
AGAGUUUGAUCCUGGCUCAGGACGAACGCUGGCGGCGUGGAUAAGACAUGCAAGUCGAGCGACUAUUACGGGGUAGCAAUAUUCCGUGAUGGGAGCGGCGCAAGGGUGCGUAACACGUGGGUAAUCUGCCAUGAAGUUUGGAAUAACUUGCUGAAAGGCGAGCUAAUGCCGGAUGUGACCGUUGGGAGGCCUCUCUCGAGGGUCAAAGCUGGGGACCGUAAGGCCUGGCGCUUCAUGAUGAGCCCGCGGCCUAUCAGCUAGUUGGUGAGGUAACGGCCCACCAAGGCGAAGACGGGUAGCUGGUCUGAGAGGACGACCAGCCACACUGGAACUGAGACACGGUCCAGACACCUACGGGUGGCAGCAGUCGAGAAUUUUUCACAAUGGGCGCAAGCCUAAUGGAGCGACGCCGCGUGGGGGAUGAAUGGCUUCGGCCCGUAAACCCCUGUCAUUCGCGAUCAAUGCGCAUUAUUUAAAAGAUGAUGCGUUGAUAGUAGCGGAAGAGGAAGGGACGGCUAACUCUGUGCCAGCAGCCGCGGUAAUAC